Long non-coding RNA from Lucilia cuprina (Australian sheep blowfly), 957 nucleotides. RefSeq lists it as uncharacterized. The record is from RefSeq and is a predicted model, not a curated record. The transcript is spliced from 3 exons. NCBI's taxonomy places the organism in Eukaryota, Metazoa, Arthropoda, Insecta, Diptera, Calliphoridae.
UCUUAAGUCUGGCAACGCAUUAUAACAAAUAAAAAAAUCAAAACAAAUGAAACACAAAAACAAAAUUCCCAAUUGUAUUUUUCGUCUUGAUUUAAUAACAACAACAACAAAAGAAGAUUUUUUGUGUUUUGUAUUUAAAAUACAUUGUUUUUGUUGUAUUUCGAAUCAGUUUUAUACAAGUGCAGUCAAAGUGUGGUUGAAUGAAAAUAACGCGUAGAUUUGUAAACAAUUUAAUAAUUGAGUAGAAAAAAAGGAGAAAAUUUAAACAUAUAAAUUAACAAAUAAUAUAAAAAGUGUGAAACUAAAAGCAAGAAGAAAAAAAAGAAGUGAGCAGAAAAGAAAUUCUUUUGUGUGGAAACGAAAAGAACCAACAACAACUACAAAUGUUUCGCGAAUAAAUUGCAACAGAACUUUAACUACGCAUUUAUAAAAACCAACAAAAUAAAGAAAAAAAUUAAAGAAAAAUUGUGUCGGGUCAUUGUGGAAAAGUUAUUAUUAUCAUAAAAUUAAAAUAAAUUAAUAACAUAACAGAUAAUAAAAUUAAAGCAGAGCAACACAUUAUUAAUUGAAUUGUGGUUUUCAAUUUAGAAGAAAAAGUUCAAUUAACGAAAGAGUAAAAAAAUCUUAAUUGAGUGCAAUAUUAGAAGUUGGGAAAAAAUUAAAAAGAAAAACUACUAAUGUAAUAAAUCUAAAAGAAAAUUUGCCAGAAAAAAAAACGAAAAAAGUCAUUAUUUCAUGUUGGCUAUCAUUGAUUAUUCGUUUUUGCUUUAUUUUAAUUUUUGAUUUAUUAGCUCAUUUUUAUUUGGGUUCUCUUUCUAACAUUUAAAUGCAAAUUAAAAUAAAAGUUUCUUUUGAUUUUGUUUUAAAUGUCAUGUAAAAUUCAAACGAAAACCAUGAAUUCUCUUGGAAAAACCAUCACACAUCAAAAUCAACGUAACGAUUUUUUUUAUUCUAGUU